This 585-nucleotide ribosomal RNA is filed under the name uncultured bacterium. RNAcentral describes it as "bacterial SSU rRNA". It matches the Rfam family "Bacterial small subunit ribosomal RNA", at positions 338 to 916 of the family's 1533-position model. The record is from RNAcentral.
CCUACGGGAGGCAGCAGUGGGGAAUCUUGCGCAAUGGGCGGAAGCCUGACGCAGCAACGCCGCGUGCGGGAAGAAGGCCUUAGGGUCGUAAACCGCUUUCAGGGGGGACGAAGCUUCCGGGGUUAAUAGCCUACGGGGUGACGGUACUCCCAAAAGAAGGUCCGGCUAACUACGUGCCAGCAGCCGCGGUAAUACGUAGGGACCGAGCGUUGUCCGGAAUCAUUGGGCGUAAAGAGCGUGUAGGCGGCUUGGUAGGUCUCGUGUGAAAUCCCGCGGCUCAACCGCGGAUCCGCACGGGAAACCCCUAAGCUCGAGUCCGGAAGAGGAGAGUGGAAUUCCUGGUGUAGCGGUGAAAUGCGCAGAUAUCAGGAAGAACACCCGUAGCGAAGGCGGCUCUCUGGGACGGUACUGACGCUGAGACGCGAAAGCGUGGGGAGCAAACAGGAUUAGAUACCCUGGUAGUCCACGCCGUAAACGAUGGGCGCUAGGUGUGGGAGGUGUCGACUCCUCCCGUGCCGAAGCUAACGCAUUAAGCGCCCGCCUGGGGAGUACGGCCGCAAGGCUAAACGUCAAAUGAAUUGACGG